UACAGAGGUCCCAAGCGUUGUUCGGAUUCACUGGGCGUAAAGGGUGCGUAGGUGGUCGGGUAAGUCUGAUGUGAAAUCUCCGAGCUUAACUCGGAACGGUCAACUGAUACUGCUCGGCUAGAGUGCGGAAGGGGCAACUGGAAUUCUUGGUGUAGCGGUGAAAUGCGUAGAUAUCAAGAGGAACACCUGCGGCGAAGGCGGGUUGCUGGGCCGACACUGACGCUGAGGCGCGAAAGCUAGGGGAGCGAACGGG
This 253-nucleotide ribosomal RNA is filed under the name uncultured bacterium. RNAcentral's name for it is "partial 16S ribosomal RNA". It matches the Rfam family "Bacterial small subunit ribosomal RNA", at positions 524 to 776 of the family's 1533-position model. The record is from RNAcentral.